RNAcentral lists this long non-coding RNA (295 nucleotides) under Junco hyemalis (dark-eyed junco). RNAcentral describes it as "lncRNA (ENSJHYG00000005028.1)". Lineage: Eukaryota; Metazoa; Chordata; Aves; Passeriformes; Passerellidae. The record is from RNAcentral.
CUCUUGUGAGGCAAGGAGGGAGCCAAGACCAGGCUGAGCAGGCUGUGGGGUGCAGAUCAUCACUGACCACCUGUAAAUGCCAUGGGCAACAGCUCUGCUCCCACAGGGGCAGCCAGUCUUCAAGGGUUGUUUCUGCUGGAAUAGACUUCUUGAUCCCUUAGAAUGACUUAAGGACAUCAAAAUAUGAUCUAGUUUUUGCCUACCAGGAGAAAGGUCUGUCACGGCCCCUAGUGGCUCAGAGGCACCCAGACAGCGCCGUGGGCCCGGCAGCAGCAGCCCGGAGAAGGGUGAAGUG